GAGAGUUAAACAGUACGUGAAAUUGUUGAAAGGGAAACGAUUGAAGUCAGUCAUACCAACGGGAAAUCAACCUCUUGAGUUUGGUCUCGUGGGUUUCGAAGAGUUUAAAAGCCUUCGGAUUUUCGAGAUUGGGCUCUUCUGGUGUACUUUCUCGUACGGUUAGUCAACAUCGGUUUUGAAUGUCAUAAAAUGACUGGAGGAAUGUGGCUUCGAUCUCGUAUUGAAGUGUUAUAGCCUUUGGUAGAUGUGAUGUUCGAGACCGAGGAUUGCAACGGAUACCCUUCUGGGCUAUUCGUCUGAUCUCUGAAACGUUGCCUUGAUGUCGAAAGCUUGCUUAUGAUGUUAGGGUAUUACGGUCAAAAGGUUAGAACGGAUUAAAUUCGUUAAGGAUGUUGACGUAAUGACUUUAAACGA
This 414-nucleotide ribosomal RNA is filed under the name uncultured Funneliformis. RNAcentral describes it as "partial 28S ribosomal RNA". Lineage: Eukaryota; Fungi; Glomeromycota; Glomeromycetes; Glomerales; Glomeraceae. The record is from RNAcentral.